AACGAACGCUGGCGGCAUGCCUAACACAUGCAAGUCGAACGAGACCUUCGGGUCUAGUGGCGCACGGGUGCGUAACGCGUGGGAACCUGCCCUUAGGUUCGGAAUAACUCCCCGAAAGGGGUGCUAAUACCGGAUAAUGUCUUCGGACCAAAGAUUUAUCGCCUUUGGAUGGGCCCGCGUUGGAUUAGCUAGUUGGUAGGGUAAAAGCCUACCAAGGCGACGAUCCAUAGCUGGUCUGAGAGGAUGAUCAGCCACACUGGGACUGAGACACGGCCCAGACUCCUACGGGAGGGCGGCGUGGGGGAUAAUGGAACAUGGGGGAAAGGCUGAUCCCACCAUGGCGGGUUAGUUAAGAAGGGCUUAGGGUUGUAAAGGUUCUUUACCCGGGAUGAUAAUGACAGUACCGGGAGAAUAAGCUCCGGCUAACUCCGUG
RNAcentral lists this ribosomal RNA (433 nucleotides) under uncultured bacterium. RNAcentral describes it as "partial 16S ribosomal RNA". It matches the Rfam family "Bacterial small subunit ribosomal RNA", at positions 29 to 507 of the family's 1533-position model. The record is from RNAcentral.